CAGUGCUCUGUACUUACUUUUUUGUUCUUCUUCCCGCCAUUGCUGCAGACAGUGGCUCCGGGGCUCCAAUUGGCUGGGAAAUCUGUGCAGAUGGGGAACCAGACACCACCUUUAAGUGUUUCAGUCGACUUCCAGAACAGCUGAAUGGUGAUAUUAUCCUAAUUUGCCAAAUCUCAGGGAUGGAGAUGUGCUCGAAUGAAACGCCCAUUCAUUUCACUUUACGUUACAAUGACAAUGACCAUGCAUGCGCAGUGGAAAACCAGCUAGAAUACAAAUGUUCUCUUGA
Long non-coding RNA from Gekko japonicus, 286 nucleotides. RefSeq lists it as uncharacterized. NCBI's taxonomy places the organism in Eukaryota, Metazoa, Chordata, Lepidosauria, Squamata, Gekkonidae. The transcript has 3 exons. The record is from RefSeq and is a predicted model, not a curated record.